GUGAAUCAUCGAAUCUUUGAACGCAAAUUGCACUCUCCUCGGAGAGUAUGCCUGUUUGAGGGUCAGCCUAUAAAAAAUCGACUUCGUUGCUGUUUCGCGGUGGCGUUCGUCGUAAAUGGUUAAACUUUAUUUUUUUUGUUUUUAAGUGUUUUAAAUUUUUCUUUUUGGUUCUUUGAACUUUUUUAAGUUUUUUUUCUUAUCACUUUUAAGGUUUAG
This 216-nucleotide unclassified non-coding RNA is filed under the name Glomeraceae sp. RNAcentral describes it as "partial contains 5.8S ribosomal RNA and internal transcribed spacer 2". The stretch from base 1 to 65 matches the Rfam family "5.8S ribosomal RNA", at positions 84 to 154 of the family's 154-position model. Lineage: Eukaryota; Fungi; Glomeromycota; Glomeromycetes; Glomerales; Glomeraceae. The record is from RNAcentral.